This 429-nucleotide ribosomal RNA is filed under the name Pseudomonadota bacterium. RNAcentral describes it as "Proteobacteria bacterium partial 16S ribosomal RNA". It matches the Rfam family "Bacterial small subunit ribosomal RNA", at positions 355 to 776 of the family's 1533-position model. Lineage: Bacteria; Pseudomonadati; Pseudomonadota. The record is from RNAcentral.
UGGGGAAUAUUGGACAAUGGGCGAAAGCCUGAUCCAGCCAUGCCGCGUGUGUGAAGAAGGUCUUCGGAUUGUAAAGCACUUUAAGUUGGGAGGAAGGGCAGUAAGCGAAUACCUUGCUGUUUUGACGUUACCGACAGAAUAAGCACCGGCUAACUCUUUGCCAGCAGCCGCGGUAAUACAGAGGGUGCAAGCGUUAAUCGGAAUUACUGGGCGUAAAGCGCGCGUAGGUGGUUCGUUAAGUUGAAUGUGAAAGCCCCGGGCUCAACCUGGGAACUGCAUCCAAAACUGGCGAGCUAGAGUAGGGCAGAGGGUGGUGGAAUUUCCUGUGUAGCGGUGAAAUGCGUAGAUAUAGGAAGGAACACCAGUGGCGAAGGCGACCACCUGGGCUCAUACUGACACUGAGGUGCGAAAGCGUGGGGAGCAAACAGG